GAUGCGUUAGAAUAGUUUGGUUAAUUCACUACACUGUCACUGUAGAGAUCACGGGUUCAAAUCCCGUACGCAUCG
RNAcentral lists this transfer RNA (75 nucleotides) under Actinomycetota bacterium. RNAcentral's name for it is "Actinobacteria bacterium tRNA-Asp". It matches the Rfam family "tRNA". From Rfam's summary of the family: Transfer RNA (tRNA) molecules are approximately 80 nucleotides in length. Their secondary structure includes four short double-helical elements and three loops (D, anti-codon, and T loops). Further hydrogen bonds mediate the characteristic L-shaped molecular structure. tRNAs have two regions of fundamental functional importance: the anti-codon, which is responsible for specific mRNA codon recognition, and the 3' end, to which the tRNAs corresponding amino acid is attached (by aminoacyl-tRNA synthetases). tRNAs cope with the degeneracy of the genetic code in two manners: having more than one tRNA (with a specific anti-codon) for a particular amino acid; and 'wobble' base-pairing, i.e. permitting non-standard base-pairing at the 3rd anti-codon position. Lineage: Bacteria; Bacillati; Actinomycetota. The record is from RNAcentral.